RNAcentral lists this transfer RNA (63 nucleotides) under Marcia japonica. Its description in RNAcentral is "tRNA-Asn". Lineage: Eukaryota; Metazoa; Mollusca; Bivalvia; Venerida; Veneridae. The record is from RNAcentral.
UAAGCUUUAGUUUAUUAAGAAUCUUUGACUGUUAAUCAAAUGGAAACGUGAAGUUAAGCUUAG